UGAGUAACCUGCCCUUCACUCUGGGAUAACUCCGGGAAACCGGGGCUAAUACUGGAUAUGACUCGAACAGGCAUCUGUUUCGGGUGGAAAGAUUUAUUGGUGGAGGAUGGACUCGCGGCCUAUCAGCUUGUUGGUGAGGUAAUGGCUCACCAAGGCGACGACGGGUAGCCGGCCUGAGAGGGCGAUCGGCCACACUGGGACUGAGACACGGCCCAGACUCCUACGGGNGCA
RNAcentral lists this ribosomal RNA (231 nucleotides) under uncultured bacterium. RNAcentral's name for it is "partial 16S ribosomal RNA". It matches the Rfam family "Bacterial small subunit ribosomal RNA", at positions 118 to 347 of the family's 1533-position model. The record is from RNAcentral.